Molecule: ribosomal RNA, 652 nt
Filed under: Laevichlamys sp. AA-2011
Lineage: Eukaryota; Metazoa; Mollusca; Bivalvia; Pectinida; Pectinidae
Description: partial 12S ribosomal RNA
Rfam family: Bacterial small subunit ribosomal RNA
Source: RNAcentral
CGGUUAAACCUGGGUAGCCCAAUUCAAACAUUUCAGUGUAAAAGGUGGUUAGACGGUCUCUUUCAUACUUAUAGGUAGCAGGAAAAUAGAAGGACGAUCUAGGGGGGUAAGGGUAUAAUCUGGCCAAUCCCCCUGAGGAAAGUGGGAGUUUCUUCUUUAGGUUGAGGCCACGGAACCGGUAAAUCGAAGACAUGGAUUAGGGACCCAUUUAUUGCCGACGCAAACUUUGCUUAGGGAGGCUGCUUGAGUACUACGAGCGUGUGCUUAAAACUCAAAGGAUUUGGCGGCUCGUUAACUACCUAGGGGAAUAUGUGCCUUAAUCCGAUGAUACCCGUUACAUCUUACUGUGCCUUGAAAAAGAGCAGCUGGUGUAUUGCCGUUGUCAGCUUGUUGUCUGAGCAAAAAGUAACAGGCUUAAGGGAACUGAUGGUUAAUUCUAAAGGGAUCCGUAAAUUCAGGUCGAAAUGCCGCCUAUGGUGCAGGGAAGCAGGUAUUACAGUUUAGACUUUAAACAACGGAUCCUAUUAUUUCAGUGGAAUCACUAGGUGAAGGUGGACUUAGGAGUAAGGGAAGAAUAACAUACUCCCCUGAACGUGAAUCUAACUUGUGUACAAACCGCCCGUCGCUCUCUUUGGAAGGGGAGAUAAGUCGU